CAGCUCCUACUGCCUCCACGCGGAUAGCUGCACCUGUAGCGAUGAAGCAACUGGUUACUUGCGAUAGGUUCGGGAACUGAAGCCGCCUUCGAUCCGGAAUGC
This 102-nucleotide ribosomal RNA is filed under the name uncultured Synechococcus sp. RNAcentral describes it as "partial 23S ribosomal RNA". The record is from RNAcentral. Lineage: Bacteria; Bacillati; Cyanobacteriota; Cyanophyceae; Synechococcales; Synechococcaceae.